GUCCACGCCCUAACGAUGGAUACUCGACAUACGCGAUAUACUGUGUGUGUCUGAGCGAAAGCAUUAAGUAUCCCACCUGGGAAGUACGACCGCAAGGUUGAACUCAAAGGAAUUGGCGGGGUCCGCACAAGCGGUGGAGCAUGUGGUUUAAUUCGAUGAUACGCGAGGAACCUUACCUGGGCUAGAAUGCUGGUGGAUCGUGGGUGAAAGCUCAUUUUGUAGCAAUACACCGCCAGUAAGGUGCUGCAUGGCUGUCGU
Molecule: ribosomal RNA, 258 nt
Filed under: uncultured bacterium
Lineage: Bacteria
Description: partial 16S ribosomal RNA
Rfam family: Bacterial small subunit ribosomal RNA
Source: RNAcentral